Molecule: ribosomal RNA, 253 nt
Filed under: uncultured bacterium
Lineage: Bacteria
Description: partial 16S ribosomal RNA
Rfam family: Bacterial small subunit ribosomal RNA
Source: RNAcentral
UACAGAGGGUGCGAGCGUUGUCCGGAAUCACUGGGCGUAAAGGGCGCGUAGGCGGUCCGGUAAGCGUGUGGUGAAAGCUCGGGGCUCAACCCCGAGUCGGCCAUGCGAACUGCGGGACUGGAGCAUGUCAGAGGCAGGCGGAAUUCCGGGUGUAGCGGUGGAAUGCGUAGAGAUCCGGAGGAACACCAAUGGCGAAGGCAGCACUCUGGGACGGUACUGACGCUGAGACGCGAAAGCGUGGGGAGCAAACAGG